Molecule: ribosomal RNA, 1053 nt
Filed under: Vibrio vulnificus
Lineage: Bacteria; Pseudomonadati; Pseudomonadota; Gammaproteobacteria; Vibrionales; Vibrionaceae
Description: bacterial SSU rRNA
Rfam family: Bacterial small subunit ribosomal RNA
Source: RNAcentral
ACAGAAGAAGCACCGGCUAACUCCGUGCCAGCAGCCGCGGUAAUACGGAGGGUGCGAGCGUUAAUCGGAAUUACUGGGCGUAAAGCGCAUGCAGGUGGUUUGUUAAGUCAGAUGUGAAAGCCCGGGGCUCAACCUCGGAACUGCAUUUGAAACUGGCAGACUAGAGUACUGUAGAGGGGGGUAGAAUUUCAGGUGUAGCGGUGAAAUGCGUAGAGAUCUGAAGGAAUACCGGUGGCGAAGGCGGCCCCCUGGACAGAUACUGACACUCAGAUGCGAAAGCGUGGGGAGCAAACAGGAUUAGAUACCCUGGUAGUCCACGCUGUAAACGAUGUCUACUUGGAGGUUGUGGCCUUGAGCCGUGGCUUUCGGAGCUAACGCGUUAAGUAGACCGCCUGGGGAGUACGGUCGCAAGAUUAAAACUCAAAUGAAUUGACGGGGGCCCGCACAAGCGGUGGAGCAUGUGGUUUAAUUCGAUGCAACGCGAAGAACCUUACCUACUCUUGACAUCCAGAGAAGCCAGCGGAGACGCAGGUGUGCCUUCGGGAACUCUGAGACAGGUGCUGCAUGGCUGUCGUCAGCUCGUGUUGUGAAAUGUUGGGUUAAGUCCCGCAACGAGCGCAACCCUUAUCCUUGUUUGCCAGCGAGUAAUGUCGGGAACUCCAGGGAGACUGCCGGUGAUAAACCGGAGGAAGGUGGGGACGACGUCAAGUCAUCAUGGCCCUUACGAGUAGGGCUACACACGUGCUACAAUGGCGCAUACAGAGGGCGGCCAACUUGCGAAAGUGAGCGAAUCCCAAAAAGUGCGUCGUAGUCCGGAUUGGAGUCUGCAACUCGACUCCAUGAAGUCGGAAUCGCUAGUAAUCGUGGAUCAGAAUGCCACGGUGAAUACGUUCCCGGGCCUUGUACACACCGCCCGUCACACCAUGGGAGUGGGCUGCAAAAGAAGUGGGUAGUUUAACCUUCGGGAGGACGCUCACCACUUUGUGGUUCAUGACUGGGGUGAAGUCGUAACAAGGUAGCGCUAGGGGAACCUGGCGCUGGAUCACCUCCUUA